This 1209-nucleotide ribosomal RNA is filed under the name Staphylococcus aureus. RNAcentral describes it as "bacterial SSU rRNA". It matches the Rfam family "Bacterial small subunit ribosomal RNA", at positions 1 to 1191 of the family's 1533-position model. The record is from RNAcentral. Lineage: Bacteria; Bacillati; Bacillota; Bacilli; Caryophanales; Staphylococcaceae.
UUUAUGGAGAGUUUGAUCCUGGCUCAGGAUGAACGCUGGCGGCGUGCCUAAUACAUGCAAGUCGAGCGAACGGACGAGAAGCUUGCUUCUCUGAUGUUAGCGGCGGACGGGUGAGUAACACGUGGAUAACCUACCUAUAAGACUGGGAUAACUUCGGGAAACCGUAGCUAAUACCGGAUAAUAUUUUGAACCGCAUGGUUCAAAAGUGAAAGACGGUCUUGCUGUCACUUAUAGAUGGAUCCGCGCUGCAUUAGCUAGUUGGUAAGGUAACGGCUUACCAAGGCAACGAUGCAUAGCCGACCUGAGAGGGUGAUCGGCCACACUGGAACUGAGACACGGUCCAGACUCCUACGGGAGGCAGCAGUAGGGAAUCUUCCGCAAUGGGCGAAAGCCUGACGGAGCAACGCCGCGUGAGUGAUGAAGGUCUUCGGAUCGUAAAACUCUGUUAUUAGGGAAGAACAUAUGUGUAAGUAACUGUGCACAUCUUGACGGUACCUAAUCAGAAAGCCACGGCUAACUACGUGCCAGCAGCCGCGGUAAUACGUAGGUGGCAAGCGUUAUCCGGAAUUAUUGGGCGUAAAGCGCGCGUAGGCGGUUUUUUAAGUCUGAUGUGAAAGCCCACGGCUCAACCGUGGAGGGUCAUUGGAAACUGGAAAACUUGAGUGCAGAAGAGGAAAGUGGAAUUCCAUGUGUAGCGGUGAAAUGCGCAGAGAUAUGGAGGAACACCAGUGGCGAAGGCGACUUUCUGGUCUGUAACUGACGCUGAUGUGCGAAAGCGUGGGGAUCAAACAGGAUUAGAUACCCUGGUAGUCCACGCCGUAAACGAUGAGUGCUAAGUGUUAGGGGGUUUCCGCCCCUUAGUGCUGCAGCUAACGCAUUAAGCACUCCGCCUGGGGAGUACGACCGCAAGGUUGAAACUCAAAGGAAUUGACGGGGACCCGCACAAGCGGUGGAGCAUGUGGUUUAAUUCGAAGCAACGCGAAGAACCUUACCAAAUCUUGACAUCCUUUGACAACUCUAGAGAUAGAGCCUUCCCCUUCGGGGGACAAAGUGACAGGUGGUGCAUGGUUGUCGUCAGCUCGUGUCGUGAGAUGUUGGGUUAAGUCCCGCAACGAGCGCAACCCUUAAGCUUAGUUGCCAUCAUUAAGUUGGGCACUCUAAGUUGACUGCCGGUGACAAACCGGAGGAAGGUGGGGAUGACGUCAAAUC